RNAcentral lists this ribosomal RNA (253 nucleotides) under uncultured bacterium. Its description in RNAcentral is "partial 16S ribosomal RNA". It matches the Rfam family "Bacterial small subunit ribosomal RNA", at positions 524 to 776 of the family's 1533-position model. The record is from RNAcentral.
UACGUAGGGUGCAAGCGUUGUCCGGAAUUAUUGGGCGUAAAGAGCUCGUAGGCGGUUUGUCGCGUCUGCUGUGAAAACUCGGGGCUUAACCCCGGGCCUGCAGUGGGUACGGGCAGACUAGAGUGCGGUAGGGGAGACUGGAAUUCCUGGUGUAGCGGUGAAAUGCGCAGAUAUCAGGAGGAACACCAGCGGCGAAGGCGGCGCUCUGGGCCGGAACUGACGCUGAGGAGCGAAAGCGUGGGUAGCAAACAGG